Macrobrachium nipponense is the source of this 497-nucleotide long non-coding RNA. RefSeq lists it as uncharacterized. The transcript has 3 exons. Lineage: Eukaryota; Metazoa; Arthropoda; Malacostraca; Decapoda; Palaemonidae. The record is from RefSeq and is a predicted model, not a curated record.
AAGAAGAAGAAAGUGUCCCGUGCUUCGUCUGCAGUGUUUUCAUUGGCCGUUCUUCGUGCAGUUAACGACAUAUAUUUUAACAAAAUGUUCCAGUUAAUGCCAUCAGCACCCCAGUCGCGAAGGCCAGAACGUGGCGGGAUUAAGGGAGCUGUAUUAAGUGUGUACUAUGAUCCUUUUAAAUGGUCAGUCGUGAAAAGUGUUUUAUUCUUUAUUGUCGGAGUAAAAACUGCAAAUGAUUUUGUGGGAUUCGAUGUGUUAAACCCAAAUCCACAGUAGGAUGAAGUUUCAGGUAGGCUGAGUCAGUACAACACUAUGUUCAUGGAAGGUCAUUCAGCAUUAAGCACAAGGAAUUGUAAAAAAUUACCCUAGAUAAUUGUUAUAGUAAUUGGCAAUAUUGUCGUCAAAGCCAAUGAAAGGAAGACCGGUCUUCAUAACCUCAGUUAUGUCAUAAAAAAAAAAUAUGUGAGAAUUUUAGAUUAAAAUUUUUUAUAUAUAUC